ACAGGGAUUGCCCUAGUAACGGCGAGUGAAGCGGCAACAGCUCAAAUUUGAAAUCUGGCUCUUUCAGAGUCCGAGUUGUAAUUUGCAGAGGGCGCUUUGGCUUUGGCAGCGGUCCAAGUUCCUUGGAACAGGACGUCACAGAGGGUGAGAAUCCCGUACGUGGUCGCUAGCUAUUGCCGUGUAAAGCCCCUUCGACGAGUCGAGUUGUUUGGGAAUGCAGCUCUAAAUGGGAGGUAAAUUUCUUCUAAAGCUAAAUAUUGGCCAGAGACCGAUAGCGCACAAGUAGAGUGAUCGAAAGAUGAAAAGCACUUUGGAAAGAGAGUCAAACAGCACGUGAAAUUGUUGAAAGGGAAGCGCUUGCAGCCAGACUUGCUUGCAGUUGCUCAUCCGGGCUUUUGCCCGGUGCACUCUUCUGCAGGCAGGCCAGCAUCAGUUUGGGCGGUGGGAUAAAGGUCUCUGUCAUGUACCUCUCUUCGGGGAGGCCUUAUAGGGGAGGCGACAUACCACCAGCCUAGACUGAGGUCCGCGCAUCUGCUAGGAUGCUGGCGUAAUGGCUGUAAGCGGCCCGUCUUGAAACACGGACCAAGGAGUCUAACAUCUAUGCGAGUGUUUGGGUGUCAAGCCCGAGCGCGUAAUGAAAGUGAACGGAGGUGGGAACCCGCAAGGGUGCACCAUCGACCGAUCCUGAAGUUUACGGAAGGAUUUGAGUAAGAGCAUGGCUGUUGGGACCCGAAAGAUGGUGAACUAUGCUUGAAUAGGGUGAAGCCAGAGGAAACUCUGGUGGAGGCUCGCAGCGGUUCUGACGUGCAAAUCGAUCGUCAAAUUUGGGCAUAGGGGCGAAAGACUAAUCG
RNAcentral lists this ribosomal RNA (851 nucleotides) under Exserohilum longirostratum. RNAcentral's name for it is "partial 28S ribosomal RNA". It matches the Rfam family "Eukaryotic large subunit ribosomal RNA", at positions 68 to 937 of the family's 3401-position model. Lineage: Eukaryota; Fungi; Ascomycota; Dothideomycetes; Pleosporales; Pleosporaceae. The record is from RNAcentral.